Molecule: ribosomal RNA, 550 nt
Filed under: uncultured Acinetobacter sp.
Lineage: Bacteria; Pseudomonadati; Pseudomonadota; Gammaproteobacteria; Moraxellales; Moraxellaceae
Description: bacterial SSU rRNA
Rfam family: Bacterial small subunit ribosomal RNA
Source: RNAcentral
ACGGGAGGCAGCAGUGGGGAAUAUUGGACAAUGGGGGCAACCCUGAUCCAGCCAUGCCGCGUGUGUGAAGAAGGCCUUUUGGUUGUAAAGCACUUUAAGCGAGGAGGAGGCUUACCUGGUUAAUACCUGGGAUAAGUGGACGUUACUCGCAGAAUAAGCACCGGCUAACUCUGUGCCAGCAGCCGCGGUAAUACAGAGGGUGCAAGCGUUAAUCGGAUUUACUGGGCGUAAAGCGCGCGUAGGUGGCUAAUUAAGUCAAAUGUGAAAUCCCCGAGCUUAACUUGGGAAUUGCAUUCGAUACUGGUUAGCUAGAGUAUGGGAGAGGAUGGUAGAAUUCCAGGUGUAGCGGUGAAAUGCGUAGAGAUCUGGAGGAAUACCGAUGGCGAAGGCAGCCAUCUGGCCUAAUACUGACACUGAGGUGCGAAAGCAUGGGGAGCAAACAGGAUUAGAUACCCUGGUAGUCCAUGCCGUAAACGAUGUCUACUAGCCGUUGGGGCCCUUGAGGCUUUAGUGGCGCAGCUAACGCGAUAAGUAGACCGCCUGGGGAGUA